GCCCGCUCAGAAACUUAAAGGAAUUGACGGGGGCCCGCACAAGCGGCGGAGCAUGUGGAUUAAUUCGAUGCAACGCGAAGAACCUUACCUGGGUUUGACAUACACCGGAAAACCGUAGAGAUACGGUCCCCCUUGUGGUCGGUGUACAGGUGGUGCAUGGCUGUCGUCAGCUCGUGUCGUGAGAUGUUGGGUUAAGUCCCGCAACGAGCGCAACCCUUGUCUUAUGUUGCCAGCACGUGAUGGUGGGGACUCGUAAGAGACUGCCGGGGUCAACUCGGAGGAAGGUGGGGACGACGUCAAGUCAUCAUGCCCCUUAUGUCCAGGGCUUCACACAUGCUACAAUGGCCAGUACAGAGGGCUGCGAGACCGUGAGGUGGAGCGAAUCCCUUAAAGCUGGUCUCAGUUCGGAUCGGGGUCUGCAACUCGACCCCGUGAAGUCGGAGUCGCUAGUAAUCGCAGAUCAGCAACGCUGCGGUGAAUACGUUCCCGGGCCUU
This 495-nucleotide ribosomal RNA is filed under the name uncultured Rhodococcus sp. RNAcentral describes it as "bacterial SSU rRNA". It matches the Rfam family "Bacterial small subunit ribosomal RNA", at positions 887 to 1382 of the family's 1533-position model. The record is from RNAcentral. Lineage: Bacteria; Bacillati; Actinomycetota; Actinomycetes; Mycobacteriales; Nocardiaceae.